RNAcentral lists this ribosomal RNA (260 nucleotides) under uncultured soil bacterium. RNAcentral's name for it is "partial 16S ribosomal RNA". It matches the Rfam family "Bacterial small subunit ribosomal RNA", at positions 26 to 275 of the family's 1533-position model. The record is from RNAcentral.
AGAUUGAACGCUGGCGGCAGGCCUAACACAUACAAGUCGAACGGCAGCACAGUAGGAGCUUGCUCUUACGGGUGGCGAGUGGCGGACGGGUGAGGAAUACAUCGGAAUCUACCUUUUGGUGGGGGAUAACGUAGGGAAACUUACGCUAAUACCGCAUACGCCCGUUCGGGGGAAAGCCGGGGGACCAGCAAUGGCCUGGCGCUGAUAGAUGAGCCGAUGUCGGAUUAGCUAGUUGGUGAGGUAAUGGCUCACCGAAGGCG